RNAcentral lists this ribosomal RNA (480 nucleotides) under uncultured bacterium. RNAcentral describes it as "bacterial SSU rRNA". It matches the Rfam family "Bacterial small subunit ribosomal RNA", at positions 29 to 505 of the family's 1533-position model. The record is from RNAcentral.
UGUGAACGCUAGCGGCAGGCCUAAUACAUGCAAGACGAGCGGUAAGUGUGGUAGCAAUACUAUACGAGAGCGUCGUAAGGGUGCGUAACACGUAUGCAAUCUGCCCUCAACAGGAGGAUAGCUCCCCGAAAGGGGAAUUAACACUCCAUAAGAUCGUAGAGUGGCAUCAUUCAGCGAUUAAAACUCUGGUGGUUGUGGAUGAGCAUGCGGAUGAUUAGCUAGUUGGUGAGGUAACGGCUCACCAAGGCGAUGAUCAAUAGGGGAACUGAGAGGUUGAUCCCCCACACUGGCACUGAGAUACGGGCCAGACUCCUACGGGAGGCAGCAGUAGGGAAUAUUGGACAAUGGUUGCAAGACUGAUCCAGCCAUGCCGCGUGCAGGAAGAAGGCUUUCUGAGUUGUAAACUGCUUUUGCCAGGGGAUAAAAAGUCCUGCGGGGAAAAUUAGAAGGUACCUGGUGAAUAAGCCACGGCUAACUACG